GACGAACGCUGGCGGCGUGCUUAACACAUGCAAGUCGAACGGAAAGGCCCUGCUUUUGUGGGGUGCUCGAGUGGCGAACGGGUGAGUAACACGUGAGUAACCUGCCCUUGACUUUGGGAUAACUUCAGGAAACUGGGGCUAAUACCGGAUAGGAGCUCCUGCUGCAUGGUGGGGGUUGGAAAGUUUCGGCGGUUGGGGAUGGACUCGCGGCUUAUCAGCUUGUUGGUGGGGUAGUGGCUUACCAAGGCUUUGACGGGUAGCCGGCCUGAGAGGGUGACCGGCCACAUUGGGACUGGGAUACGGCCCAGACUCCUACGGGAGGCAGCAGUGGGGAAUAUUGCACAAUGGGCGGAAGCCUGAUGCAGCAACGCCGCGUGCGGGAUGACGGCCUUCGGGUUGUAAACCGCUUUCGCCUGUGACGAAGCGUGAGUGACGGUAAUGGGUAAAGAAGCGCCGGCUAACUACGUG
This 468-nucleotide ribosomal RNA is filed under the name uncultured bacterium. RNAcentral describes it as "partial 16S ribosomal RNA". It matches the Rfam family "Bacterial small subunit ribosomal RNA", at positions 28 to 507 of the family's 1533-position model. The record is from RNAcentral.